UCGAGAAAACCCGUUCUUGCUUGGCGUCUCCUCGGCUGUAUAUCAGAUUCGAUCUCAGCUGACGCUUUAUUUUUUCCCCUAUCCGCAAACUUCUUCAAAGCUUGACCUUUGGAAUGCUACUCGAUCUGCGAAAAAGCUGCUAGAUUUGCUGCAAUUAGAUCAGACUUAGUAAUGCUCUUUAAGUGCUUCUUCCGAUUUCAAAUGGAUUUGUGAGCUGAAGUAUGACUUUCCGCUAAUGUGCCAAUCGUAAAAUAUACAUCUUGUAGAUAUAUUAAUUUAAAAACAAUUUCUAUAGCGGACAAAAGUUAGCGUUUCUGAAGUGUUCAUCCAAUGGCAUAUUCUUCGAAAAAACAGAUAAUGAGCAAAAUUUUCCUGGAUUACUAAUCUUUUUUUAAAUCGCGAAUUUGGGGAGAAAAAUUGUGAUUGGACUCGAUUUGUGCAAUCUUCCGUAUUUUGUUUUGGUUAUUAUUAUUUAAAUCAAUGACAAAUGAAUUAGUAAAUUUCCAAUCAACAAUCAGCGUUUCUUAGAAAUUUCCGAUCCUGUGAUUUCGCUGUUACUUUGACUGUUUUAUAUUUUAUAGUAGCAAUGUGAUCGCGCAUUAAAUAUUGAACUUUAAAUUUCUAAUAUCUGAGAAAAGAAGAAAGCUUUUCUGCUGAUGAAAAUAUUUUGCUUGUACUAGAUUGACAAUGGAUUGUAUUACAGAAUUUUUAUGUGAUGGCAAAGUGCUGCAGAUUUCGUGCUUCGAAACAUUGUGCAUACAUAAAGCAAGCAUUCUUAGGGUUUUGAAGCAUUAACAGCUAUGUUACGCAGUUGGAUCUACGUUGUAAUCGUCGGCGCGGUGUUCUGCCGUAUUGCUGCGGGAUCUCGCGGGUACGUAGCACCGGAAGACUGUGAAUGGACUGCCGCUGGAAGCCUCGGUUCUUCUUCGGUGGCGCUGACAUGCACCGUCCGUACCAUAAAUGGAGCUUUCGAUAGCACAAAUUUCAGCCUCAUCCAGCCUCAAAAUACAGUCAGUCUGAAAGUCAAAUGCGAAAAUGUGUUAUUCGAAAGUGCCCUUGCAAAUAGUUCUUUCCAACAUCUCAAAGAGCUACGAUCCCUGCACAUCGACUUCUGCAAACUGAAGGAGAUACCUGUUAAGGCAUUCUGGGGUCUGACGGAGUUGACCAACUUGACGGUGAGAACUUACAACAGCGACUGGGGUGAGAUUUUCCUGAAAGUAAUCCCUGGCAGUUUAUCCCCUCUUCAGAAACUCAACAGGUUGGAUUUUAGUCGGAACAAUAUGCCAGCUUUAGCACCAUCAUUAUUGUGUUCUUUGCCAAAUCUACAGCAUUUAAAUCUCUCUCAUAAUGAUUUCAGCGAAGUCGUGAAUUUGGGUUUCGCGGCUACCAACCGGACGCCUUGUCCUGUUCAUGUUCAACAUCUGGAUUUAACGAAAAAUCGCUUGAAAGUGCUCGGCGAUCGUGGAUUUUCGGCACUGAGGCAUUUGCGGACUUUGUACCUUCAAUCGAACAGGAUAUCUCGUGCGGAGGAUACAGCGCUGGCCGGCUUAGGUAAGCUACAAAUUCUAGAUCUUUCUAAUAAUCAGUUGAUUGCUCUUCCACCGGGUUUCCUGAAAGGCUCGGAGUUGCUUGCAGAACUUUAUUUACAAAAUAACUCUAUGAGUGUCCUGCCUCCUGGAUUGUUUUCUGGACUGCAGCAGAUGCUCAUAUUGGACUUGAGUCGAAAUUCGCUCACCAGCCAGUGGCUUAAUGGUGAUACUUUUGCUGACAUGACUCGAUUAGUUGUCAUGGAUCUAAGUUAUAACAAGUUGUCUCACCUCGAUUCAGCGACAUUUCGCUCGCAGUAUAGCCUCAAAGUUUUACAGCUGCAUCAUAAUGAGCUCGUCAGCAUUGCCGAUAACGCUUUUUCAUCGCUGUACAACCUCCAGAGUUUGAUACUGAGUCAGAACAAUUUAACUUAUAUUGAUGCUCUUACUUUUAAUGGCCUUCAGAUGUUGGAAAUCAUAUCGUUGGAUUUUAAUAGCAUACAGGCAAUUCACAGUGAGGCUCUGAAAAACUGUACAAAUCUCCAAGAAUUGACUUUGAAUGUCAACAAGCUAAUAGAAGUGCCAAAAACUAUAAAAUUUCUGCAGCAGCUACGAAGCCUGGAUAUAAGCAACAAUAGGAUUUCUGUGAUAAGUAACGCGUCUUACCAAGGUUUAGCGCAUUUGUACGGUUUGAAACUUGCAGGAAAUUUGAUAGGGAAUUUAAGUAAAGGUGUAUUUCAAGAUUUACCCUCAAUAAGAAUACUAAAUUUAGCUAAUAAUAAUGUGCAGGCUAUUGAACAAGGUACUUUUGAUGAAGUGCCGCUGCUUCAUGCUCUAAGAUUAGACUCCAAUUUGAUAUCGGAUAUUAAUUCCUUAUUUAUAAAUCUUCAUGAUUUGAUGCUACUUAAUAUCUCAGCGAAUCGGAUUUCUUGGUUCGAUUAUGCACUUAUUCCGAUUGGAUUGCAUUGGUUAGAUGUUCAUGAUAAUCAGAUAGAAACUCUAGGAAAUUAUUAUGAGCUAGAAUCUGUGUUAAGACUACGUACUUUGGAUGCAUCCUACAACAGAAUAGGGGAAAUAGACGCAUCGUCAUUACCGAAUAGUAUAGAAAUAAUAUUUCUGAAUAAUAAUCUGAUAAGAAAUAUACAAGCUUUUACCUUCUUAGGCAAGCAAAAUCUAACUAGGGUAGAGCUAAAAAAUAAUUAUUUACAGACUUUAGAAAUGAAUGCAUUUAGAUUAAGUGAAGUACCAAGUAGAAGACCGCUUCCAGAAUUUACGGUUUCGCAGAAUCCGUAUAUCUGUGAUUGUAACAUGGAAUGGGUACAGCGCAUGGCUACUUUAGAUGAAUCUAGACAAUAUCCGAGAAUGACGGAUAUCGAAGAUAUUAUAUGCAGUUUAACAUUCACUCGGCGGAGAGCAGUAGUGCCGCUUACGAGAGCUCAGAGUUCGCAGUUUUUAUGCAGUUACAAAAGUCACUGUUUUGCCUUGUGCCACUGCUGUGAGUUCGAUGCUUGCGAUUGCGAGAUGGUGUGUCCUGAAAAUUGCACCUGUUACUAUGAUCAGAGUUGGAAUACCAAUAUCGUAGAUUGUGGUAGCAAGCGACAUACAGCAGUGCCUAGAAAGAUACCCAUGGACGUUACUGAACUGUAUCUCGACGGCAGUGAUAUUCCAACUCUAUCCAGUCAUACAUUUAUUGGCAGAAAAAAUAUGAAAAUCUUGUACCUUAACAAUAGCAAUGUGCAUACAAUCGAUAAUAGAACUUUCAACGGGCUGAGAGACCUUCUAGUUCUCAAUUUAGACCAUAAUCGUCUGACCGCGCUUCACGGAUAUGAGUUUGAAAGGCUGGUGUUUCUUCAAGAGCUUUAUCUCUCUCACAAUUUAAUCACAACAAUCAGCAACGUCACUUUUUCAGCUUUGAAAUCUAUAGAAAUAUUGCAUCUAGAUCACAACUUUAUAGUGCAUUUCCAAGUGUGGUUACUCAACAUGAAUCCUCGUUUGCAAGAAAUCCGAUUUGCUCAUAAUCCCUGGACGUGCGAUUGUUAUUUCAUAGGGGAAUUAAAGGAAUAUCUUCAUUUAAAAGGUGACUAUGUCCGUGAUAUUUACGAUUUAGAGUGCCAGUUUAACCAUAGCAGUGCUCAUGCCUUGCUAGACUUCAAUACGACGGCCUGCAACAAUUUUACUGCCACAGCAAUUCGAAGUGAGUUCGACGUUACUGAAAUGCUGCCAAUGCUGAUCAUUGCCGCAUCAGUCUUAUUCUGCGUGAUCUUCGCGGUUGUGCUCAUCUUUAUUUACAGACGAGAAAUGGGUGUGUGGUUCUACGCGAAGUAUGGUGUACGCCUUUUCCAAGGGGGCAAAGGACGUGCUUCUCAACGGGGUGGUGGAGACGAAGACAAACUCUUCGAUGCAUUUGUCUCCUACAGCAAGAAAGAUGAGGCCUUCGUGACACAAAUCUUAGCUCCAGAGUUGGAAUGUGGAAUGCCGACCUAUCGUUUGUGCCUUCACUACAGAGACCUACCGGUCGGAGGGUACAUGUCAGAUGCCAUCAUGGAAGCCAUGGAAAGCAGCAGACGAACUAUAUUAAUUUUGUCCGAGAACUUUCUGAAAAGUGAAUGGUGCCGAUAUGAGUUUAAAUCGGCGCACAGGGAAGUUCUCAGCGCGUGCCAGCAUAGACUUCUAGUGAUAGCUUUGGGCAAAGUGGACCCCCAGGAGCUGGACCCUGAUAUCCGACUGUGGAUGAAACAGAGUCCGGUCCUCAGGUGGGGUGAGAAACUCUUCUGGGACAGGCUAAAAUAUGCAAUGCCUGAUGUUCGACACCGAAAGACAGAAAGGAACAGAAAUGACGUGAGUGUAGCUGUACAUAUUUGAAAAUAGUGCUUUUUAUUACUCAUAUUAAUUUUAUUUUCGUGAGAAUGGACGAAGUUAUAUUAAGACAGUAACGUGCACAUCUGGGAACGGGGGAAAGAAAGAAAGAAAGAUGUAGCAAGCUUGUUUGGUCAUCGGAAACUGAAUACUAAAAGAACUGUCAAUCUUCUGCCCGUUUAGCCAAUGG
This 4572-nucleotide unclassified non-coding RNA is filed under the name Stegodyphus dumicola. RNAcentral describes it as "toll-like receptor Tollo, transcript variant X4". Lineage: Eukaryota; Metazoa; Arthropoda; Arachnida; Araneae; Eresidae. The record is from RNAcentral.